AUUGAACGCUGGCGGCAUGCCUUACACAUGCAAGUCGAACGGCAGCACGGGAGCUUGCUCCUGGUGGCGAGUGGCGAACGGGUGAGUAAUACAUCGGAACGUACCCUGAAGUGGGGGAUAACGUAGCGAAAGUUACGCUAAUACCGCAUAUUCUGUGAGCAGGAAAGAGGGGGAUCGCAAGACCUCUUGCUUUAGGAGCGGCCGAUGUCGGAUUAGCUAGUCGGUGAGGUAAAGGCUCACCAAGGCGACGAUCCGUAGCGGGUCUGAGAGGAUGAUCCGCCACACUGGGACUGAGACACGGCCCAGACUCCUACGGGAGGCAGCAGUGGGGAAUUUUGGACAAUGGGCGCAAGCCUGAUCCAGCCAUGCCGCGUGAGUGAAGAAGGCCU
RNAcentral lists this ribosomal RNA (389 nucleotides) under uncultured bacterium. Its description in RNAcentral is "bacterial SSU rRNA". It matches the Rfam family "Bacterial small subunit ribosomal RNA", at positions 30 to 417 of the family's 1533-position model. The record is from RNAcentral.